This 2405-nucleotide long non-coding RNA is filed under the name Sus scrofa (pig). Its description in RNAcentral is "lncRNA (ENSSSCG00055007100.1)". The record is from RNAcentral. Lineage: Eukaryota; Metazoa; Chordata; Mammalia; Artiodactyla; Suidae.
ACUAAUAAAUCCAUUCAUUCGACAUGUUUAAAUAAUGCCUUAUUUGGUAUCCAAUCCAGGAUGUUUGUUUUUUAACAGAGAAUUGAAAAUUUGCAGAAUUCUCUCAUAUAUGUAAUACUAUUUAUGAGUAAAUUACUUAACUUUCAUCAUUAGCUAGGAUUAAACUAUCAACAAAGAGAAAGAGUUUAGUUUUUUAAAAAACUAACAGGAUUUUAAAAAGAAAAGAUUUGACAUUUUAACAGAUUUAUUUUUUUUAGGGCCACACCGCCGCAGGCUAAGGGUCAAAUCAGAGCUACAGCUGCCAACCUAUGCCACAGCCACAGCAAGGCCAGAUCUGAGCGGUGUCUGCAACCUACACUGCAGCUCAUGCCAACGCCAAAUCCUUAACCUAAUGAUCAAGACCAGGGAUCGAACCCGCGUCCUCAUGUUUACUAGUUGGGUUCAUUACCACUGAACCACAAUAGGAACUCCCUUAACAUAUAUUUUAUUUGAAAGAUUUUUAAAAUAUAAAUAAUCACCGAUAGUUCAGGGAGAUGUGGCCAUAGACUGGUCCCAGAGAGGUAUUUAAGUUUUUUACUAAACUCACACAUCUGUGUUUUUCUACUCAAAAACUGACAAGAUAGAUAUAAAACACAUUAAAAUCUUUUUUUAAAUACCAUGCAGCAACAAUCCCUUAGAGGCAGCAACCGUGAGAUGGUGCUUAAACAAAGAAUUUUUUUCCCCCAACAAUAACAAUUUUCUUUAGAUUCAUUUACAAAACCUCACUACACAGCAUGAGGCAUAAUUUCCUGGUAAGUAACUAUAAAGUAGAAUUAACUAUCCUCAAAUGACUAUGAAAUUAAGUCAGCCAUAUCAGAUUAAGAUGACCAUAAAUGCAGUUAAAAACAUGCUAAUUUACAUAGGCCCCUAACCAUGUUUAAUUGCCACAUUAAAAAUCCUAAACGCAUUCCCUUCAGAUGCUGGUCUGUGCUUUUAUAACUCAGAAUUGUGUCAACUAAAUUAACUUGUUUUGUCUGAACGUUGUACUUGGUUUUUAAAUUUAUAUUACUGGUAACAUUCACCAGCUCUAGCUAUGAUGUCUAAAUAUUUUUAUUAAUGUAACUAAAUCCAUCAAACUGAUUUUCAUGAGGUGAGCAAUGUGUUAAAAAAAAAAAAACUCUCAGCCAACUACAACAUGAGUCAUCAUAAAGAAUUUAUAGAUAAGAUAUUCAUGAUGCUGUGGUCCACUUCUUUUGGCACCUUUAACCAAAUGGGAUAGAUCUUCCCAUGAACUAGGAAACUGAAGAUAAGCUAAAGCACCAGCCAGUGUCAGAAUCACUGCUGUGCCACUCCUACACCAUGCACAGCCCUCUCUCACACUCACUCAUCUCUACAAGCCGAAAAGAACCGAAGCUUUUCACCCUAGGGCGAUCCCCACCCUUAGGAGAGCCUGCCUCAGCUCUGGACACCCUUUCUCCACUGGCCUGUCAACCACCUAGCUUGUGGAUACAGAAAACAAAACCACUGGCUUGUUUCUGCUCUACCCUCUGCAUAGAUUUUCUUUCUUUCUUUUUUUGUCUUUUUUUUUAUUUUUUUUUUAUUUUAAGGCCGCACUUGUGGCAUAUGGAGGUUCCCAGGCUAGGGGUCUCUCUAGAAUGAACUAUUUGAUUUGAAGCCUAGGCAUCUUUGGAUGUGGCUUCCUUCCUGAACUACCCUUUCAUCUUUCCUCACUUAAACCACUUGCAAAUGCACUGUCUUGUUACCUUCUGUUUAUCCCUGUCACUCAAAGAACCAGGAUAUCAGGCACCCAGAAGAGAGAACAAAUUAUUUACUCCACCAGCUACUUAGGCAACCCCCAAGCAUUAGCGAAAAUAUCUUUUUCUCACUGUAUGCGCUAUGGAGACUUCAACAGGCAUCAGUGUGGAAGAGAUGAAACAAUUCCCACCUACUGAGGGGAAAGAACACAGAGCAUAGCGUCGUCUUGGUUUCCUCCAUGACAUGAUACAUGUUGGUCACCAUAAUGCCCCAGCUCAGUUAGGAGUUAGAAUCCAAAAGCAUCCCCACGAGGCAGCAGAGUGAGAAUGACCCAGGCUGACCCAUUUCAACAUGCAGAGUAGACGCACGGAAAGGCUUGGCUAGUUCAGUACACACUACCAUCCCCGUGAGAAGGCUGAGACGUUCUCACCCCAGAGGUAGGCUUCCUGGGGCUGUGGGAAAUGAUGAACUGUCUUAGGCUCUUACAGCACUGAGGGGAGAGAGUGUAAAAACCAGGGGAGAACGGAGAAGGUUCUUUUAAAGUGAUGAAGAUUAACAUGGAGGAGGACAGAAAUCAAGACAGGAAAGGAAGGAGAAGGUGCUGUGAUGUGAUAGGCCAAGGAUCUCUGCUGUCAACAUUCUAAAAUCUUUCCUAUCAGUUUUUUUGUUUU